Molecule: ribosomal RNA, 321 nt
Filed under: uncultured Chloroflexota bacterium
Lineage: Bacteria; Bacillati; Chloroflexota
Description: bacterial SSU rRNA
Rfam family: Bacterial small subunit ribosomal RNA
Source: RNAcentral
GAUGAACGCUGGCGGCGUGCCUAAUACAUGUAAGUCGAACGGAGUAUUAGCAAUAAUACUUAGUGGCGAACGGGUGAGUAACGCGUUGGUGACCUGCCCCGAAGAGAGGGAUAACAGUUCGAAAGGAUUGCUAAUACCCCAUGUUGUCAUUUGGAUUAGAUGCCUUAUGACUAAACGGAUUUAUUCGCUUCGGGAGGGGCCUGCGUCCCAUCAGCUAGUUGGUAAGGUAACGGCUUACCAAGGCGAUGACGGGUAGGGGACCUGAGAGGGUGGCCCCCCACAAUGGAACUGAAACACGGUCCAUACACCUACGGGAGGCUG